Molecule: non-coding RNA, 234 nt
Organism: Penaeus vannamei (Pacific white shrimp)
Lineage: Eukaryota; Metazoa; Arthropoda; Malacostraca; Decapoda; Penaeidae
Source: RefSeq, a predicted model, not a curated record
CCCGCCUAAAAUAUAAUUUUCGCUCUUGUUUUGGUAAAGCAAUUCACUGGAAAUUAAUGGAAAUUGAAGGAAACUGAAGGAUGUAAAUGACGUAACUAGCGGCAUAUCAUCAGUAGUGAAGAUUGCAGGUCAUUAGUGUCGCAUAUACAGAGCUGAAGGAAAUAUGAAUAUCUAAAAAUGCGCCGCAGCCUAGCUCCAAGCCAGCUGCUGAAGCGCAGUUUGGAGAUCAAUCGG